RNAcentral lists this ribosomal RNA (301 nucleotides) under uncultured bacterium. RNAcentral's name for it is "partial 16S ribosomal RNA". It matches the Rfam family "Bacterial small subunit ribosomal RNA", at positions 509 to 808 of the family's 1533-position model. The record is from RNAcentral.
CAGUCGCGCGGGAAUACGGGGGGGGCUAGCGUUGUUCGGAAUUACUGGGCGUAAAGCGCACGUAGGCGGCUUGGUAAGUUAGAGGUGAAAGCCUGGAGCUCAACUCCAGAAUUGCCUUUAAGACUGCCGAGCUAGCAGGUGAGAGAGGUAAGUGGAAUUCCGAGUGUAGAGGUGAAAUUCGUAGAUAUUCGGAAGAACACCAGUGGCGAAGGCGGCUUACUGGCUCAUACUGGACGCUGAGGUGCGAAAGCGUGGGGAGCAAACAGGAUUAGAGACCCCAGUAGUCCCUGUCUCUUAUACA